Molecule: ribosomal RNA, 503 nt
Filed under: Alternaria tenuissima
Lineage: Eukaryota; Fungi; Ascomycota; Dothideomycetes; Pleosporales; Pleosporaceae
Description: eukaryotic LSU rRNA
Rfam family: 5.8S ribosomal RNA (bases 152-305)
Source: RNAcentral
GGCGGGCUGGACCUCUCGGGGUUCAGCCUUGCUGAAUUAUUCACCCUUGUCUUUUGCGUACUUCUUGUUUCCUUGGUGGGUUCGCCCACCACUAGGACAAACAUAAACCUUUUGUAAUUGCAAUCAGCGUCAGUAACAAAUUAAUAAUUACAACUUUCAACAACGGAUCUCUUGGUUCUGGCAUCGAUGAAGAACGCAGCGAAAUGCGAUAAGUAGUGUGAAUUGCAGAAUUCAGUGAAUCAUCGAAUCUUUGAACGCACAUUGCGCCCUUUGGUAUUCCAAAGGGCAUGCCUGUUCGAGCGUCAUUUGUACCCUCAAGCUUUGCUUGGUGUUGGGCGUCUUGUCUCUAGCUUUGCUGGAGACUCGCCUUAAAGUAAUUGGCAGCCGGCCUACUGGUUUCGGAGCGCAGCACAAGUCGCACUCUCUAUCAGCAAAGGUCUAGCAUCCAUUAAGCCUUUUUUUCAACUUUUGACCUCGGAUCAGGUAGGGAUACCCGCUGAACU